GACGAACGCUGGCGGCGUGCUUAACACAUGCAAGUCGAACGGAAAGGCCCUGCUUUUGUGGGGUGCUUGAGUGGCGAACGGGUGAGUAACACGUGAGUAACCUGCCCUUGACUUUGGGAUAACUUCAGGAAACUGGGGCUAAUACCGGAUAGGAGCUCCUGCUGCAUGGUGGGGGUUGGAAAGUUUCGGCGGUUCGGGAUGGACUCGCGGCUUAUCAGCUUGUUGGUGGGGUAGUGGCUUACCAAGGCUUUGACGGGUAGCCGGCCUGAGAGGGUUACCGGCCACAUUGGGACUGAGAUACGGCCCAGACUCCUACGGGAGGCAGCAGUGGGGAAUAUUGCACAAUGGGCGGAAGCCUGAUGCAGCAACGCCGCGUGCGGGAUGACGGCCUUCGGGUUGUAAACCGCUUUCGCCUGUGACGAAGCGUGAGUGACGGUAAUGGGUAAAGAAGCACCGGCUAACUACGUG
This 468-nucleotide ribosomal RNA is filed under the name uncultured bacterium. RNAcentral's name for it is "partial 16S ribosomal RNA". It matches the Rfam family "Bacterial small subunit ribosomal RNA", at positions 28 to 507 of the family's 1533-position model. The record is from RNAcentral.